ACGAACGCUGGCGGCAUGCCUAACACAUGCAAGUCGCACGAGACCUUCGGGUCUAGUGGCGCACGGGUGCGUAACGCGUGGGAACCUGCCCUUAGGUUCGGAAUAACUCCCCGAAAGGGGUGCUAAUACCGGAUAAUGUCUUCGGACCAAAGAUUUAUCGCCUUUGGAUGGGCCCGCGUUGGAUUAGCUAGUUGGUAGGGUAAAAGCCUACCAAGGCGACGAUCCAUAGCUGGUCUGAGAGGAUGAUCAGCCACACUGGGACUGAGACACGGCCCAGACUCCUACGGGAGGCAGCAGUGGGGAAUAUUGGACAAUGGGCGAAAGCCUGAUCCAGCAAUGCCGCGUGAGUGAUGAAGGCCUUAGGGUUGUAAAGCUCUUUUACCCGGGAUGAUAAUGACAGUACCGGGAGAAUAAGCCCCGGCUAACUCCGUG
This 432-nucleotide ribosomal RNA is filed under the name uncultured bacterium. RNAcentral describes it as "partial 16S ribosomal RNA". It matches the Rfam family "Bacterial small subunit ribosomal RNA", at positions 29 to 507 of the family's 1533-position model. The record is from RNAcentral.